This 753-nucleotide long non-coding RNA is filed under the name Solanum tuberosum (potato). RNAcentral's name for it is "long non-coding RNA (STUB_LNC010744)". The record is from RNAcentral. Lineage: Eukaryota; Viridiplantae; Streptophyta; Magnoliopsida; Solanales; Solanaceae.
AGCAAGUGGAAUCCAAGAACAGGUCCCUGAAAGUCGACAUUCAGGUCCUGGGAGCCACAAAUAUAGUGAUAUACAGUGUGAUACAACGAUAUACAGCAGAUGUAUAUACUAUAUAAAUGCAGUAGAACUGGAUCCAAAAAGCCCCUAAAAUUCCAAAAGUUGUAUUUUGUUAUUAUUCGGCCUAAGCCCUUUGUUUUUAAUUAUUCUUAUCUUGUUAGUCUGUAGGACAGGUGAAAUUGGGCCAAAGGCCCAAAGAAUAGUCAUUUUCAAGUUAGCCUAUGACAGGUACAAAUGGGUUAAAAGUCCAAAAGCAGAAAUUAGGCCCAAGUAUUGGCACAGGCAGACAGAACCAGCUAUGGGCCCAAUUCUUUCCUUCCUUAUUUAUUUCAGAGUAAAUUUUAGGUUUAGCAAACAUAAAAAUCAUAUUUGUAUGUUAUAGCUAUAGUUUGUAUAAUUGUGCUCAAUAGCAAACUUUAUGUUUGCUAUGGCUAUUAAUGUGUAUAUUCCGGUAUACAUAUACAAAAGAAUCAAUUGUAUAAUAUGUGUUGGUACAAAGCGAGGAAGAGAUAAAGACAAAAGAAAACUGGGAAGUGGAAGAUCUGUAUUGGUUGUAUAGGAUGAAAAUAAAUGUAUUUGUAUUUGUAUAUAGAAUUUUCUCUCACUUUAUACAAACACAAAUGCAAUUUAUACAUUUGUGUUUGUAUAAAGUGAGAGGGGCGAGUGAGAGUGGUGAGCGAGAUUUGGGAGAGUGGC